Cryptotermes secundus is the source of this 2545-nucleotide RNA transcript. It is a transcript of the gene named zinc finger protein 37, with no coding region annotated. The transcript has 8 exons. The record is from RefSeq and is a predicted model, not a curated record. Lineage: Eukaryota; Metazoa; Arthropoda; Insecta; Blattodea; Kalotermitidae.
AUUUUCCAAUUUUUUAAAAUUAAGUGAAAUUUUUUCAUUUUAAAUCAUUUAUUUAAGUUCUGUCCAACUUUCAUAUUUGAUCGCUUUACGAUAGAUGCCAGUACCUACAACAUUUCAUCGGCCAUUGUGGGAAGCAAGCUGUUCAUGUGUAGUUUUUCACAAAUUGUUACAUAUGUAAUUUGGAGGUUGUUUUCAACUGGUGACAAUUAUUUGCAAUGGACGAUUUUGAUUUUUAUCUUAAAAGGUGUCGCUUGUGUGCAUGCGAACAUCGACUGGGCAUUAAUAUAUUCGGCUCUGAGGGUACUAUGCUAGAUUUGAUGUCCAAAAUAAAGAUGUACCUCUCAAUAAAUGUAUGUUCAGAAGAUGCGUUACCAAAUCAUGUAUGUUAUCAGUGUUUAUAUCGUGUUGAAACAUUCCACAGUUUCAAAUUAUCGUGCAUAGAAUCAGAACAUACAUUAAGAAAUUGGCACUUCUUUUAUGGAGGAAUAGCUGAUGAACAUGAUACAUCAGACACAGAGGAUGAAUUGGAGUCUGCAAAUGAAACUGAGAAGAAGAUUGUUACAAGUACAUCACCAGAACUGAAAUCCUCUUCAAGUGAGAGCACUCAACAUUCCCCUAGUGUGUCAGUGGACUCAGUAGCACAGCCCACAACAAGUUCUUUCUCCACUUUGAAACUUGCCAAAAUGGCAGAGACAGCAAUGAAGAGCAAAGAGACUAAGGGCUUGCAGUUACAAAAUGAGGUGGGUGGUAAAACUGCAGUAGACUCGCCUUUCAUAGCCAAGGUACCAAGCCAGAAAAAACAGCCUACAGAUCCAAAUGGGAAGGUUGACAUAGUGGCAGUAAAGAGUGGCAGGAAUAUCAUGAAAAUAUCAAAUACUGAUCAGAACAUGGACACCAAAGAUCAGCCAUCCAGCAAUGAUAACAAUGAAGUCUCACGCAUUCUGCUCAACAUGUCAGGUGUUGGUACUAUCUCAGUCACAAAAUAUGAGGGCAUAGGACUGAAGAAAAUGGAUAUGAAGGACAAUAGCAAGAUAGAUGGAGGGACCCAGGAAAACCAACAUUUUGUUAUGCAUAAACAGCAGACACAGGAAUAUGUUAUUGUGUCUGAUGAUGAUGAUGAUGAUGAUGAUGAAAGUGAUGGUUUCUCAGGGUUUGAUUUUGAAGAAACACCCACUGUGGCAGAAACAGGAGAGUGUACAAAGGAGAAGCCAGGGGCUGGAUUACAGGAGACAGUUGUGGUUGGAGAACUGGUGCCCAAUGAAUGCAUUCGGUUUGAACAUUUGGAAUUUGACAAGAAUGGCACCAUUCAUAAUGCUGAAAAUGAGUCCCAGAAAACAGAAAAAUUGGAGUUUCAGGAUGCAAUAAAGUACACGGCAGUGAAUGUAGACACUCGCUUUGCCUGCAUCAGGUGCAACAAAACGUUUGCUCAGAAGAGUUAUAUCAAGGAACAUAUGAAGAUACAUACAGGUGAGAAGCCAUAUUCAUGCAAAGUUUGCGGUCGCAGUUUCCGCAAUAACUACAUGCUGAAGGUUCACAUGCGACUUCAUACAGGAGAAAAGAACUUCAAGUGUGAGGAGUGUGGUGCCCUCUUCACAGAGCGUGGUGCCCUUGUUUGUCAUGCUCGAACACACACUGGUGUCAAGCCAUUUGUUUGCAUUUUCUGUGAUCGAAAGUUCGCACAGAAUCCAGCUCUUAAGAGACAUCUUCGUAUCCACACCAAGGAAAAACCUUUCAUGUGUGACCACUGUAAGGCGUGCUUUGCGGAUCGUGGUACCUGGAGGAAUCACGUGCGCAUUCAUACAGGCGAGAGGCCAUAUAAGUGCACACUCUGUGAAAAGAGCUUUGUACAGCGCACCAAUCUGCAAGCACACGUCAAGACACACACUGAUGAACGCCCAUUCCCUUGUCAGGUGUGUGGCUCUUCCUUCCGAACAAAGGCUCAUCUUGUGAAGCAUCUGUCAACCAUCCACAGAGAUGUAAUGAAAUGUGUUGUUACAUUUAUGAAGGAACCAAAACAAGAGCCUUCACUGUGUUAACAAGUGUGCAACCUGAAGCUUUGUCAUGUGUAGAGAAGUGCAGAUCAUCAGUGUACAGGGGUACCCCCCUUUAGAAGCAGAUUCUGUGCUAUUGCAUAGAUGGGCAGAGGCCAGGAAUGUCAACACUGACUAUGUCUGGAGGCACUAAACUAACAGCAUACCUCCUGUUUCAUUUAUAAUUAUAAUGAAAAUUACUGUCUUCUGCAAUGGACACUAUGUAGCCUUCUACCAGGAUACCAUCUGCUGACUACAUGACAUCAAAUUCCAGAAGACUAAAUGAACUGUGAUUCAUUUUCAUUUGUGCACACUGUACAACAUUAAAUUAUUGCAUUACGGAAUGUGAUUAAUAAAACUGAUAUGUAAGCACCAUUGUUCCAUUCGUGGAUCAAAUUUGAUAACAUUGAGUGGGGAAAAAUAAACUGUAAAAUAGAAAUAGUUAUAUAAUGAGAAAGUUUUUGAUUUUCACAUGUCACGUCAAACAACAUGGUUGUGCUAUGAGUAAAUCCAUG